This is a long non-coding RNA of Fukomys damarensis (Damara mole-rat), 898 nucleotides long. RefSeq lists it as uncharacterized. The record is from RefSeq and is a predicted model, not a curated record. The transcript is spliced from 3 exons. Lineage: Eukaryota; Metazoa; Chordata; Mammalia; Rodentia; Bathyergidae.
GUCGUUUCCCCGACUGCGCGCGAAAAACAAAGCCAUCGGCGCCGCAACCUGCUCGCCACAGGAGUAAUGACACUCGGCACUCAGCUGUUCGGGACUGCCAGAGCGCCUUCGAUCGCGGAGAUGAGCAGAGGUCAAUUACUUCCCAUUUGGGGAACUUGUGAACAUUAAGAGGUGACCAGAGUGACGGGGCCGAACGAUGCAGAUAAGAGGCUGAUUGCUUACAGAGCGGCUCCCUGGUAAAAGCCCUGCUGAGGAUAAGCAGUCAUCGUAUUUAGAAAGCAACCACGUUCGAAAAGAAAACCUACGGAGAGGGAAAGGGGAGCUGCCGGGAGAGACGAAGUCAGGCACCUCACCUCCUCCCCGGCCGGAUCACUUUUCUCUCCCUCGAGCUUCUGCUUCAAUUCCAUGUUAUCCGGAGCCGACGGCCUACCCUGAUGAGAACACACCAAGGUGAUGCGGUCUUCUCACUCCGGGUGAUGCUGGAUUAGGCGACAGAGAUGCAGGUUUACAGGGGGGAACCGCAGUGGAGACGCUACUUCCCGAGCAAGAGCACGGCCGGAAGCGCGCUCUGGCCGGGGUCACCAGGUCCCGUAGCGCGGCGGCGACCGCGAGAGGUUCCGCUCGCAGCAGAGCGUGGCUCGAAGCCUAGGCUCCCCCACCUCUCUGGAGCGUCCUACUCCCUGCACUUCGUCCCCUUGUCACUCCUAUCCCGCCCCCUCAACAAGUUCCUGUGCUGGGAGGAUGGAGGUCCCCUACCCCUCAUCUCCCAGUGCACGGGCUGCCCGUGCAAUCAGAGCCACUCCGGAACUCAUUCUCAAACCCGGGGUUGAGCCCCGGAAAGUCACCAGCCUCACAGCUGCUACGACACCCGCGACUUCAGCCACCGCGUUAAGUCGCA